RNAcentral lists this ribosomal RNA (460 nucleotides) under uncultured bacterium. RNAcentral describes it as "bacterial SSU rRNA". It matches the Rfam family "Bacterial small subunit ribosomal RNA", at positions 1036 to 1498 of the family's 1533-position model. The record is from RNAcentral.
AGGUGCUGCAUGGCUGUCGUCAGCUCGUGUCGUGAGAUGUUGGGUUAAGUCCCGCAACGAGCGCAACCCUUGUCUUUAGUUGCCAGCAUUAAGUUGGGCACUCUAAAGAGACUGCCGGUGUCAAGCCGGAGGAAGGUGGGGAUGACGUCAAGUCCUCAUGGCCUUUAUGACCAGGGCUACACACGUACUACAAUGGCAUAAACAAUGGGCAGCAACACCGCGAGGUGAAGCGAAUCCUCAAAUUAUGUCUCAGUCCGGAUUGGAGUCUGCAACUCGACUCCAUGAAGUUGGAAUCGCUAGUAAUCGUAGAUCAGCAUGCUACGGUGAAUACGUUCCCGGGCCUUGUACACACCGCCCGUCACACCACGGGAGUUGGUUGUACCAGAAGCAGUUGAGCGAACCUUCGGGACGCAGGCUGCCAAGGUAUGAUUGGUAACUGGGGUGAAGUCGUAACAAGGUA